AAAUUCUGUAGUUAAUGACUCAUCGUUAAUUUGGUAGCUGAUGUACAGCUGAGUUCGGGUUAUAAAAUGGCAUGUCAGCAGCCCGUGUGAUAGAGUGAUGAAUUGAAUAUCUUGUCCCUGCCAAGUGCUCUAUUUUUUGAAAUAUUGAUGAACCAUUAUGGGGUGAGGGUUAGAGACUGGUGGACUUGGUGGUUCUUUUUUUAAUUAUUAUUCUUUUUUAUAUUUUUACACUUAGCUGUCUUGUGUAUAUUCAUUCCUAGAUUGUCUGGUGUUGCUUGUUUCCUAUUCCCCGUCUUAUAAAAUUGUUGCUUUAAGAUCUCAUAUAGCGUACUAGAGAUCCUGGGUUUUAUGCUCAUUUCAUGAACAAAAUGACUCUUGAAUGAAUAAAUUAAGCUCAACGUUGGAAUUAAAGUUUGUUGUGAUGAUAGGCAUCAAAAUUGAACUAUCAUAUGCUAUUAUGAUGUGUAUGGCUUAGGCAUUAGUAUCCAGUCUUUCUAUUCUUUAAUGACAAACAGAGCCUUCAUUUUUUUUUCUCACCUUACCCACUUUGCACGUUGUUUUCAAAGCAUAUAAAAUCAAAACUUAUUUAACAUUGCCUUUGCAGCAUUCAAGGUGGAGAUCUUCAGA
RNAcentral lists this unclassified non-coding RNA (627 nucleotides) under Hevea brasiliensis (rubber tree). Lineage: Eukaryota; Viridiplantae; Streptophyta; Magnoliopsida; Malpighiales; Euphorbiaceae. The record is from RNAcentral.